This is a long non-coding RNA of Harmonia axyridis, 1114 nucleotides long. RefSeq lists it as uncharacterized. The record is from RefSeq and is a predicted model, not a curated record. Lineage: Eukaryota; Metazoa; Arthropoda; Insecta; Coleoptera; Coccinellidae. The transcript is spliced from 3 exons.
AAAAUUUUGGUUAGGAACUGAUGGAAUCAUUUGCGAUUUCUCGAAUUCUUGACUUGGGGUCAUCCAUUGUGGGAUUUAUUUCGAUAAUCGUAUUUUGUGCAUUUUGGCAAUCCAAGCCCUUUUUCUCUUUGGAAGAACUGGUAUUUUCCGUAUUUUUCUCGAAGAAAGCUUAUUUGAAUAUUCUACUGCUCUCAUUGCAUGUGGUGAUCUUCGGAAUUUUCGUCAAUCAGUCAUACUAGGUUGCAUUUGGUGAAAUUUGAUUGGAAUUCACUGAAAAAUUCCACUCAGUGGAAAAGAAGUCUCAUUGACUGCCCCUGAACAACUGGGGUGUUAGUAGAACGUCAUUGUGUCAUAACGUCUUGGUGGAGCACCACGUUUCUGCGUAGUCCUGUGAGAUUAUCGGUGAGUUAUCUACAACUCUGGAGAUCGAUUUCAUCUUGGAAUCGAGGAAAUUGGGAAAGUAUAGAGGAGUAGUUUCUGAGAGGUGAACCAUCAAGUUGAGGACUAUUGAGGUGUCAACGCGAGUUCUGGACUGUUGAAAUAUCUGUUUUUAUGAAACUUGCCUAUUCCUAAUUAUUUUCUACUGAUAUACUAUUUGUGAAGAACUUUAUUACCAGGCAGGUUCAAACUGCAGAGUUUCAGUUUUAUACAGAUAAGAUUAUUUCGUUACCUUUGUCGAUAUACCAUUUACAAUUUAGGUUAUUUUCAUAUUGACAAGUGAGGUUAUAUUUCAUGCAAAUAUUAUAGAGAAAGUUAUCAUUAUUAGAUCAUUAGUAGGAUUACAAUCCUCAUUGACUGACAACAUAUCGCCUUUAUAUACCGACGAUUAUUUCAUUUGUGAGGUACAGAUUGAACGUAUUUUUUUUUUUUGUUGUAAAGAAUGAUUCCGCAUAAAUUGUUACUAUACUACGCGCAUGCGCCUGAGCUCAAGCGACGCGACGUGGUGGAUAUUUGAUUUCCUCAAUUUCAUUUCCUCUUUCUCACUGUUUUGUAUCAGUGACCCCCCUCCUUAUCGUUCAAUUGCGACCAAUUUGCUCUUCUUGUCAACGCCAAUUUGCAGCUGUAUCUUGUGCUACCUGUAUAAACCUUUUUAUCAUUACACUCUUUUAGUGAA